Non-coding RNA from Chelonoidis abingdonii (Abingdon island giant tortoise), 109 nucleotides. The record is from RefSeq and is a predicted model, not a curated record. Lineage: Eukaryota; Metazoa; Chordata; Testudines; Testudinidae.
AUGAUGAGUAAUGAGGGUGGUUACACAGGGCUGCAGUGGCACUCUGUGCACCCGCUGCUCUUUCUGAAGAUCCACCAGACUCGGAGGAUAUCAGUUUGAUCAGCAGCAG